Molecule: unclassified non-coding RNA, 253 nt
Filed under: Hevea brasiliensis (rubber tree)
Lineage: Eukaryota; Viridiplantae; Streptophyta; Magnoliopsida; Malpighiales; Euphorbiaceae
Source: RNAcentral
GAGCCGUCGGGGCUCGAAAAUAUCUUCUCAAAACCCUGUGAAUCUGGGCUUGAUAUACGUUAUUUAACUAUUUCCGAUGGAUUUCCGUUGGAAUUCGAUCGGAAUAUGAAUUCGUUGCCAUUUUUGGAAGGUUUAAUAAAUGGGUUUUCGAAUUAUGUUGAUAAACUAGUUGGGGAUUUAGCGAAAGAGGAUUGUGUUGAUCCAAUUAAUUGUUUGAUUGCUGAUACUUUCUUCGUUUGGCCAUCGAUUAUCG